CAGCAGCCGCCACGGUAAUACGUAGGGUGCAAGCGUUAAUCGGAAUUACUGGGCGUAAAGCGUGCGCAGGCGGUUAUAUAAGACAGAUGUGAAAUCCCCGGGCUCAACCUGGGAACUGCAUUUGUGACUGUAUAGCUAGAGUACGGCAGAGGGGGAUGGAAUUCCGCGUGUAGCAGUGAAAUGCGUAGAUAUGCGGAGGAACACCGAUGGCGAAGGCAAUCCCCUGGGCCUGUACUGACGCUCAUGCACGAAAGCGUGGGGAGCAAACAGGAUUAGAUACCCCUGUAGUCCCUGUCUCUUAUAC
RNAcentral lists this ribosomal RNA (304 nucleotides) under uncultured bacterium. RNAcentral's name for it is "partial 16S ribosomal RNA". It matches the Rfam family "Bacterial small subunit ribosomal RNA", at positions 509 to 807 of the family's 1533-position model. The record is from RNAcentral.